Folsomia candida is the source of this 613-nucleotide long non-coding RNA. RefSeq lists it as uncharacterized. The transcript has 2 exons. NCBI's taxonomy places the organism in Eukaryota, Metazoa, Arthropoda, Collembola, Entomobryomorpha, Isotomidae. The record is from RefSeq and is a predicted model, not a curated record.
AUUAAACAUUCGUCAAAAUAAAUCAUUUUCUCAGCAUGUAUAAAAUACAGAUUGUGCCAAGUCUAAAUAGGUUCAUAACUGAAGUUUGCAGGGAAGGAUACAAAAAUUCAGAUUUCUUGCUAGAAAAUUAUCAAAUAAUUCGGAAAAGUAUGAAGGUUUUUGCACUUCUGGUCAUUCUCGUUGCUCUAUUCAUUGGGCUAACAACGAGUCAAAAGCAUGGGGCGUCGUGUACUCACACUGGAAUCAAACCGAAAGACGAUUCCGUGUGUUCUGGAAAUCUGCUCUGCGGGAUAUCCAAUACCUGCGUCUGCCCAGACACUUAUGGGUCCUCCCCAUUGAAUUUCAACAUUGCUGCUGAUGGAUUAUCGUGUGUGGAGCGAUCUUAAGUUUUUAUUUGCAAAACUGAAUAUUAAAUCCUUACAUAUGUACAUAUUUAAAUUCAAACGGGUAUCGGAAAAAAUCUGUCGGACUUUUUAUACAAUAGUUUUAAAACGUGUAAUGAUUUCGAAUUAUUCUAUUUCGUAUAAUUUACUCAUCAUAAUUUGUUCAUGUUACAAAAUUUUAUCAAAAUUGAUUUCAUAAAACAUGCAAUAAAAAAUCUUUAGUUAUGUAA